This 497-nucleotide ribosomal RNA is filed under the name uncultured bacterium. RNAcentral's name for it is "partial 16S ribosomal RNA". It matches the Rfam family "Bacterial small subunit ribosomal RNA", at positions 28 to 507 of the family's 1533-position model. The record is from RNAcentral.
GAUGAACGCUGGCGGCGUGCCUAAUACAUGCAAGUCGAGCGAACAGACGAGGAGCUUGCUCCUUUGACGUUAGCGGCGGACGGGUGAGUAACACGUGGGUAACCUACCUAUAAGACUGGGAUAACUUCGGGAAACCGGAGCUAAUACCGGAUAAUAUUUCGAACCGCAUGGUUCGAUAGUGAAAGAUGGCUUUGCUAUCACUUAUAGAUGGACCUGCGCCGUAUUAGCUAGUUGGUAAGGUAACGGCUUACCAAGGCAACGAUACGUAGCCGACCUGAGAGGGUGAUCGGCCACACUGGAACUGAGACACGGUCCAGACUCCUACGGGAGGCAGCAGUAGGGAAUCUUCCGCAACGGGCGAAAGCCUGACGGAGCAACGCCGCGUGAGUGAUGAAGGUCUUCGGAUCGUAAAACUCUGUUAUUAGGGAAGAACAAACGUGUAAGUAACUGUGCACGUCUUGACGGUACCUAAUCAGGAAGCCACGGCUAACUACGUG